AUCCUUAUUUCCGGAAGUAGAAACUCACUGUGCUUUUGAGCUACAUUUUGGGGGUAAACUGUUAUGAUCACCGCUACUAAAAUGGACAGAACACCUUUACGUGAUAUUUUUAGUAGAUCCCCAUGAGUAGCGAGGACUCGGAGCAGCAGGUCGGGGACUCAGAGGUGGGCAUGAAUCCACCGAAGCGUCUCCGCACCGCAGAAACACUGACAGGAGGCACAGAGCAGGAGGCGGAGAAGAGCACGGUGGAUGUGAGUAUCAUCAUGCCAGUAUAUAAUGCAUCAUGCUGGCUGGAUGAGUGUCUACAGGCCAUAUUGCACCAAGACUUCACUGGUUCCAUGGAGCUGUCGGUGUUUGAUGACGCAAGCACUGAUGACUCCAAAAAAGUGGUGGAGGGUUGGAGGGAGAGGCUGGAGGCAAGGGGCAUCUCAGUGGUGAUAUCUGGUCACAACUCUGAUCAACCUAAAGGAGUGGGAUAUGCAAAGAAUAAGGCCAUAUGUCAGAGUCGUGGACAAUACUUGUGCUUUCAGGAUGCGGAUGACAUUAUGUUGCCCCAAAGAGUUCGUCUGCAGUACGAUGCAUCAUUCUGUCACAAAAACUCUCUGAUUGGCUGUAGAGUCCAGCGGGUGCCAGAGGGGUCUACAGAGCGUUAUACUCGCUGGAUCAACACACUCAGUCAGGACCAGCUCAUCACACAGGUAUACACCUCCCAUGGGCCCACAGUUGUCAUGCCAACAUGGUUCUGCUCACGGGAAUGGUACCUGAAGGUUGGGCCAUUUGACGAGGGAGGCAAGGGAGUCCCAGAGGAUCUUCUCUUCUUUUACCAGAGUCUUCGUAAGGGAGGGGGCCUGUUCCGGGUUGACCAGUGCCUGCUGAUCUAUCGUUAUCAUGAGAAAGCAACCACUCACUCCGUAACAGAAGAGACUAUUUGGAAGCUGCGAGUAGACUUCCUGCAGGAGAGAGUUCUCAGCCAAUGGGAGAGCUUCACCAUAUGGAACGCUGGGAAACAAGGCCGGAAGCUGUACCGAUCGCUUAGCCUGGCUAAUCAGAAGAAAGUCAAAGCGUUCUGUGAUGUGGAUGAGAACAAGAUCCAGAAAGGCUUCUACACAUAUGAGGAAUCCAAGGAAAGACCUAAGCCAAAAAUUCCAGUUCUGCAUUACAAGGAUGCCUCCACCCCUUUCAUCAUCUGUGUCAAACUGGACAUGACUGGAGGCAACCUGGAGGAAAAUCUACAUUCCUUGCAGAUGAAGGAAGGAAUAGAUUACUAUCACUUCAACUGACUGUUCAGGGACAUGAAGGUUUGCAGGUUUAACAGGCAGAGGAAUGCAAAGGAAUAGAUUAAAGUUACAUAUAAGCUCAGAAAUAGACAGGUAAUAGCAGGAAAAUAGUGAACACUGAAAUUGAAGGAACAAUAAGUAAAGAGUGACACCGGACUCAUAUAAGGUUUGAAAUGGGGGCAGACUGACUGCACAGGGAGUCUGAGCCUGAGUCUAAUCCUGUCACCACCACAGAGGACUCUUGAUGAUGUGCUGUUUGACCUCAGAUGCUCCUGCACCAUGUGGAGUAUUUACAGAGCAGCAGAACCUCUGACCUUCUCCCCUGCAGUCACCUGGCUCUUCUCAAGCAGACUGACAGGAGGAACGCCAAGUCUGUCUACACUUUUCUUCCUCACUGAGUCACACAUGCAAUUCCUCUAUCUCCUAUUUCAACCUUCAUGACCUUUAUUUCCUUUCUCUUUGUCUUUUUGUUUUUGUUAUAAAGAAAUCCUAAUUUACCUACAGACUAGCUGAGCGGGGCAGCUUGACAGUAGUUGUUGAAGAAAAGGAAGGAACACUGAGCUCAUGCCAAUUAAACACCACUUCAUACUUCCCUGCAAAGGAAGAGAGCAGUGAUGCAGUGAAAGUGAGAGAAAUGGUUUUCAGGCUACUUCAGUGUAGAUUUCAAAAGUAUAAAGUAAAACCUUUAUACUUUUUAUAUGUUGAGCUAAAGUGUCAUCACUACAAUAUAUAAAAAUUAAGAAACACAAUAUCUACAAACACAUUUUGGGAUCACAGUUAUAGCUACUCUGCUAAAUAAUCACAUUCAACAGGAGCAUGUUUGGAUUUAGCUUCAGCUAUGUGAUGAUAAACUCAAUUAACCAGACGAUGGUUUUGUCCAUCUCUAGUGUCUCUGUGGGUUUGACAAAAUAAAUAAAAAUUAAAAAUUUACAUUCACCAACUGUAAAAAUUGUGUAGCCUAUAUGCUGAAUGUGUAUAAAAAUGUUUUUAAUGUUUCAGCUG
This is an RNA transcript of Archocentrus centrarchus (flier cichlid), 2279 nucleotides long. It is a transcript of the gene named queuosine-tRNA galactosyltransferase, with no coding region annotated. The transcript is spliced from 14 exons. The record is from RefSeq and is a predicted model, not a curated record. NCBI's taxonomy places the organism in Eukaryota, Metazoa, Chordata, Actinopteri, Cichliformes, Cichlidae.